This is a long non-coding RNA of Scophthalmus maximus (turbot), 2967 nucleotides long. RefSeq lists it as uncharacterized. NCBI's taxonomy places the organism in Eukaryota, Metazoa, Chordata, Actinopteri, Pleuronectiformes, Scophthalmidae. The transcript has 2 exons. The record is from RefSeq and is a predicted model, not a curated record.
AAAGGCCCAUUACAGUGUCCCAGAGCACAAGGGACAUCAUUAAAUCGCUUAUUUUGUCAAACCAACAGUCCCGAAAAAAAUGGUAUUCAAUAUAAUGUGAAACAGACAAAGGCAGAACAUUCAUUUUCGUAUUUUAGAACCAGGAUCCAUCAGACACUUGCAACUUCUGCUUUAGAAAUUAACAAUGAACAUAUUAACAAAAGCUUCGCAAGAUUCAGCAAGAUUUGCUCGGAAAACAAAACAACACGCAAGAAAAAAUGUACUGGUGCUGUUCAUCAAGUAAACACAAAUCAAAUCUUAAAUAGGAAGAAGCCCAUCUUGAUCUCAAGUUCACUGUCAAUAUGUGCAUAAAGUUUUGGGCAUGUGAACGAGAAACAUUUAUGAAAAGAAACACAUGUUCUGUUUCUUGAUCAGGUAAUUUCAGUAAGAUUCCAAAUGGCACGUGCUGUAGUAGCAGCAGCACACGUGUUUUUUGGUUAUUAUGAAUGCCAUUUUAUCCCUUGUUGUUACAAAGAGAUAGUAGUGGAUGACCAGCUCUGGUGCAGACAACGCAUCUGCUGAUAAAAGCACAAUGACGAGCAGUUUCCCAAAACGCUUAGAUAAAAGAAAGCCAACAGGUAAACACACACACUACACAGAGAGGUAUGGACGAGAUGUAGACAUUUAAAACAUAUAAAAAAGGUAUUUGAACAAAAUGUUCUAUGGGGAAAAAAGGAGAAAUAAAUCACAUCUAUUGCAUGCAUUCACUUGCUUAGAGAUGCACGGCAUGAGAGCAAAAGCGUCACCAUCACAACAAUCAUCACCAUCCAACAUGUAGGUGUAACCUUUUAUCGACACCAAUGGAAUUGUUAAUGUCACCAGCAUCUCCCCAGCCUCUGCACUCAGCACAGAUCCUCAGCAAAACAUAACAAAACCACAAUCUAACCCGUUGGGCCAACGCCCACGUAAUCUCGCCUCUCCAUUGGCCACGCGCAGACGACGUCCCGCCCCCAGCUGUGUCCGGCUGGCUUCCGUGACUGUCAAUCACCGGAGCUGCUUCAUACUAAACAGCCCGUUUCAAGCUAGGUUGAGGCAGAAGAUAAACAAGUUGGAGGCCUCCAUGCCCGUGGCCUACAUAGCAACAUUUAUUAAGAUAUUUAAAGUCACUCACCACGAACGAUGAAUGCAACACUGGAUCGAGCGCCGAUCUAUGAAUUACUAAUUUAUAUACAUAUGAAGAAAGAACGAUUCUAACAUUGACCUAUUCAAGUCGGUGGUAAAAAAAACAACAACAACAACAACUAAACAACAGUUUCUUAGGGUAAAAAUCCGUACGUAUCUAUCAUCCCAAAGAAAUCCAGCCUGGUUCGGGUGUAUUGUUUCUCUGACAUCGCAUGGAAAUUUCUGGCAGCGUCAAAUGUGUUUUUUUUUUUUUUUCCAGCAGCAGCAGUGUUCAGUGUUUGGGGGGCGUGUACCCGUCGAGAGCACAGACUGUUCUGCCUGCGGGAAAAAAAGUCAGUGUUUGGCUUUUAACUGACUCUUCACACCGCAAAUACACUUUGAUAAUGUACAACUAGACACAUUAAAUGGGCCCAUCGAAUUGGUGUAGGUAUAAUAGGUAUAAUGUAAAGCGAUCCGGGACAGUUUAAAAGUGGAGCGUGCAAAAGCAACCUUCAAUCUUCAGUGCAAUCUUCUUACACAAAAGUGCCGCUUUCAACCAACUGAGUUACUUCCUCUGAUGAGACUUAUUAAAAAUUAAAAAUUAAAAAAUAUAUAGAAGCAAUGCAUAGUGGGACGUUGAUGUACGGCUGGUAAAGCCCCGACAUGGAUGUCAAGCUCAACCUGAAACGUUGGCUAACUGCACAGUUUCACUCCUCCCGGAAAAGCUCGACGAGCUGCGGACGCACAUGCACUAUUUACUUGGCCCGCAGCCAUGUGUGAUGUGUUAUUAACGCGGACCUGACGGGGCUUGUGCCUCCCGUUCACCCGCAGCUCACAUUAAGUAUGGCCUCCACCCGCCCCCUUCCUCGUCCCCAGCUGAAGCCCGAUACACAACAACAACUGACCCGCCGUUAGCUCCGAGGCUAAUCCACUGCAACAAAACGCAGCGAGCGGGCGAAACACCGCCGCCCCGCGCGCCAAACGGGGCCAGAAACAGCUGCACUCACUUCACGGACGCCCCCUGCGUACGAUUCUCUUCGCGCCGGACAUCGUUCAGGCUGCCGUGUUGGAGAUAACGAGGCCCACUCUUCAAUGGAGUCCACACGCUGCCGCAGCUCUAUCGGAUUGACGACUGAUUCGAUAAACCUGGAUGAGGUGUUCUUCUGCUAACACUUCCAUCUGAAUGACUUGAGUGACAUGGUAGCAGAGCUGGCAAAUCCUUCAAGGGGAUCCAUCUGAUCUGCCCCAAACUUCAGUCAGUUUAAUCAAAACAUUUUUUGACUGUGAUAAAUUGCAAAUAUUUCUUCAAUGAAACAGGACGAUAAAUGGCCUGUACCUGAAUUGGUCUGUAAAUGAUGGUAAAUUCUGGCAGAUGUUUACAAUGUACCAUAUAAUACCUGGCCCCAUGUCAUGUUGUUUGUUUGUUUGUUUGUUGUCAGCAGGAUUAUGCCAAAACUACUGAACAGAUUUCCAUAAAACUUGGGGGAAAGAUGGGGCAUGGGUGAAAAGAAAACCAUUACAUUUCCUUAAACUUUGCAUGAUAUGACUCUUUAUUUUUUAAGUUUUUUACCAAUUUCCCAGAGAAAAAUGCAUGGGUUUUGAUAAAAAAAAAUAUAGGAAUAUUAAGGGGACUGAUAUCUAUGAGUGUGUGCAUUUGGUGUGAAUCCUAAUAAAAAUCAGUAUCAUGCAGAUUUAUAUGUGGUGUCAUAGGGGGAUUGUUGAGGAACUUGACAGAGGUAUGCACUCUACUGAGUGCCAUUAGUUGCCAUGGAAAGACGUGUACACAAAUCUAUGGUUUACUGAAUAAAAGACAUACAAUACGCCUCA